Molecule: non-coding RNA, 1403 nt
Organism: Schizosaccharomyces pombe (fission yeast)
Lineage: Eukaryota; Fungi; Ascomycota; Schizosaccharomycetes; Schizosaccharomycetales; Schizosaccharomycetaceae
Source: the annotation of a GenBank genome assembly
CGUUGAUCAAAUACCUUAAUCUAUUUUAAACUGAGGGUUUUUCUGUUUUGGUCUUUUUGUACAAUGUAUAUGGAACAAUGUAAUUUAAACUCAUUACUCUACUAUCUGCUCGCAGAAUUAAUGUAUCAAAUUUUGAUUGAUUUGGAAUAUAAUCUACCUGUUUUCAAACCUUCUUAUAGCAUUACUUAAAAUUUUCUUUUUUUCAAAAAUAAAAAGGAAGUUGGUGUAAAAUUCAUGAGUGUCAUUAUAAUCACAAAGCUUUUGCUAGAUAUCAUCUUGAACAAAUUGGUAUCUUUCCAUUUAAACAUGAUUUCUCGUAUACGAAUAUUGCAUUUCGUGUAACAGUUAAGGCUGCUAUGCUAAAUAUUCAUAAAUGCGACCAUUAUCGGCUUGUCUUUGUAGGUACUCCCGCUCUAUUAAAGCUUCAAUUCGUCGCUUAAUCAUCAUCGGACUAGGGUGGAAACGAGGGUUUAACUGUCUUGUAACCUCUGCCAUCAGCUGAUUGUGUUCGCACACUUUGCGAUCCCUUAAUUUACUGUUAGUAAAAAUGUUUGAAAAAAAAAAAAAAGGAAAAAGACAUACUUCAUCACUCUAACAAUACAGGCAUCUGCUUGAUGCUUCCUUGACUCGUCUACCUUCUCUAAUGUACGUUUUCUCUCACUAUCAUCCUCAACACGAGUCUGAGCAACUGUCGAUAUUUUAAUCCGGGCGAGAUUUGAAACAAAGUUCUCAUUGAAAUAAAACUUGUCACCUGCAUUCACCUCCCUUCCUUUUGGAUCCUUUAGCAAAAUCUUGUAUUUUGCACAAGCAAGGGACUGAAGAUUGCGCUUCAAAUCCCCAACUUCUAUAUUGGUUUUUUCCAAAAUCUCCUCAAAAAUUAAACACUGAUUUUCUUUUAGGUCUUGGAAAAGCAAUAGAAUAACAGAUGCAAUAGUCGAUACAUUCAAGUCAUAUUUUCUGUCUUUGAAAUUAACACGGACAUCAGCACUUCCCUAAAUAGGAUUGUUAGUGUGACGCAACAAGCAAAUAAAAGUUUACUAUACCAUAGAAGGAUACCACAAUAAUUUUCUCCCCGUAUGUUUCGAUAAAUAAAAAUCCGUAAAUUGAUCUAUCUGAGCCAGGAGAACUUUCGGAAAGUUACAUUUAAUUUUGUGAGGCGAUAAAUCGAUGGGCCAAAAUGUAGAAGCCAAAAUUGAAACGUUUAAGUCCAAAGCAGGCUAACUGUUAGUAUAAAGGAUUAUCAAUAAAAAUUUCCACUAACCUUGGCCGACUGUAACGCAGAAUUAUGUUUGUACUCCUGUAACAAUUCUUGUGAAAGAUUCAUAUCUAAGCAUUAAUAAGGGAACGCAAAAAAACUUGCUAAAGUCUGAAUACUUACCAUUAAACAUUCCUUCGAGCUUUUG